GGCUCAGAACGAACGCUGGCGGCGUGCCUAACACAUGCAAGUCGUACGAGAAACACGUCCUUCGGGAUGUGGAGUAAAGUGGCGCACGGGUGAGUAACACGUGGGUAACCUGCCCUGGGGAUCGGGAUAACUGGCCGAAAGGCCCGCUAAUACCGGAUGAGACCACAUGAGCUACGGCUCAAGGGGUCAAAGUCGGCCUCUCAACGAAGCCGGCACCACAGGAUGGGCCCGCGGACCAUUAGCUAGUUGGUAGGGUAACGGCCUACCAAGGCUAAGAUGGUUAGCUGGUCUGAGAGGAUGAUCAGCCACACUGGAACUGAGAUACGGUCCAGACUCCUACGGGAGGCAGCAGUGAGGAAUAUUGCGCAAUGGAGGAAACUCUGACGCAGCAACGCCGCGUGGGUGAAGAAGGCUUUCGGGUUGUAAAGCCCUGUCAGGCGGGAAGAAACUUCCGCAGGUGAAUAGUCUGUGGAACUGACGGUACCGCCAAAGGAAGCACCGGCUAACUCCGUGCCAGCAGCCGCGGUAA
RNAcentral lists this ribosomal RNA (529 nucleotides) under uncultured delta proteobacterium. RNAcentral describes it as "bacterial SSU rRNA". It matches the Rfam family "Bacterial small subunit ribosomal RNA", at positions 21 to 523 of the family's 1533-position model. Lineage: Bacteria; Deltaproteobacteria. The record is from RNAcentral.